Molecule: ribosomal RNA, 790 nt
Filed under: uncultured bacterium
Lineage: Bacteria
Description: bacterial SSU rRNA
Rfam family: Bacterial small subunit ribosomal RNA
Source: RNAcentral
GAGUUUGAUCCUGGCUCAGGAUGAACGCUAGCGGCAGGCUUAAUACAUGCAAGUCGUGGGGCAGCGCAGGUAGCAAUACUGGGCGGCGACCGGCAAACGGGUGCGGAACACGUACACAACCUUCCGAGAAGUGGGGAAUAGCCCAGAGAAAUUUGGAUUAAUACCCCGUAACAUAACGAUGUGGCAUCACAUUGUUAUUAUAGCUUCGGCGCUUCUUGAUGGGUGUGCGGCUGAUUAGAUAGUUGGCGGGGUAACGGCCCACCAAGUCUACGAUCAGUAGCUGAUGUGAGAGCAUGAUCAGCCACACGGGCACUGAGACACGGGCCCGACUCCUACGGGAGGCAGCAGUAAGGAAUAUUGGUCAAUGGACGCAAGUCUGAACCAGCCAUGCCGCGUGAAGGAUUAAGGUCCUCUGGAUUGUAAACUUCUUUUAUCUGGGACGAAAAAAGGCGAUUCUUCGUCACUUGACGGUACCAGAUGAAUAAGCACCGGCUAACUCCGUGCCAGCAGCCGCGGUAAUACGGAGGGUGCAAGCGUUAUCCGGAUUCACUGGGUUUAAAGGGUGCGUAGGCGGGCAGGUAAGUCAGUGGUGAAAUCCUAGAGCUUAACUCUAGAACUGCCAUUGAUACUAUCUGUCUUGAAUAUUGUGGAGGUAAGCGGAAUAUGUCAUGUAGCGGUGAAAUGCUUAUAUAUGACAUAGAACACCUAUUGCGAAGGCAGCUUACUACGCAUAUAUUGACGCUGAGGCACGAAAGCGUGGGGAUCAAACAGGAUUAGAUACCCUGGUAGU